Sphaeramia orbicularis (orbiculate cardinalfish) is the source of this 247-nucleotide long non-coding RNA. RefSeq lists it as uncharacterized. The record is from RefSeq and is a predicted model, not a curated record. Lineage: Eukaryota; Metazoa; Chordata; Actinopteri; Kurtiformes; Apogonidae. The transcript has 3 exons.
GACCCCGGCCGGCAGACCACCACCGGGACCGGGGGCCGACGGUUGGGCCGCCAGGAGGACACCUGUGACCGGUCCUAAUGUUUGUGGAGACAAGUGUUGUGUUGGAUGGACUCUGUCACCCAGAACCAGGAGAUGCACCAAAGCCAGAUGUCUUCCUCGUUGCCAUAACAGAGCAUCAUGUCGGAAGCUCAACCUUUGUGUUUGCCGUCCUGGUUUCCAUGGUGACCGCUGUGAGUUUUCCUCGGUG